This 1241-nucleotide long non-coding RNA is filed under the name Phoenix dactylifera (date palm). RNAcentral's name for it is "long non-coding RNA (PDAC_LNC005730)". The record is from RNAcentral. Lineage: Eukaryota; Viridiplantae; Streptophyta; Magnoliopsida; Arecales; Arecaceae.
AAUAAUGACUAAGUGAGCUAAAACCCGUCUAAGUUCUUGCCAUCAUGCUGCAUGUUAGAUCCCAACUGGUAUCAAGGUGGGGUUCGGUCAGGUUGUGGUCCAAAUCCGACAAGGAAUCUGACUACCCACGCUUGAACCAGGCUCAAUGUCAAGCAGCUGGGUCAAGAUAACUUGGGUCGAGAACUAGAGGUUUUAUUGGAAAAAAUAUGGAUCAAGUCUGGGUUGCUCACACCGGGAGCCCUGCCAAAAGCAUAGGUUAGGCACAAGCUGGAUUGGAUUGGUUAAGCGAUCUAUUGUAAAAUUUUGGUAGGGUCAGGUCAGCCAAGCUCUUAACAUGAAUCCGAUCUGACUUGAAACUUAAUUCACAUUUUUUAAGCCCAAUUGUCAUUUAGAGCUAGCUUUAAUGAAGUUAGCCAGGCACAAAAUUGCACACAAAAUGUCAAAAAAUUAUAGAGGCUUGCGUCUCCAUACUACUCAAAAGAUGCGAUCAGGAUUGGGUACAUUAAAUAUUAAUUAGUAGCGACAUUGAGAUGUUUGCUAAAGUUAGGGUUUAGUUGAGUAAUUUAGCAAGAUUAGGCUAGAUUUUUCUGAUGGUUUCGUGAAUUGAGCCGUUCAUUUGGGCAUGACCUAUAUCAACCCAACACCUCUUAGCCUGGCUAUAAUGUAAGGAAAAAAAAGAGAGGACAUCCAUAACUUUUUCAUUCUCCCAGACAAAUAGACCAAUACAUUGGGACUUAGCACGGAAUUUGGAUAAUGGCAAACAUUACAUGCAUAUUUAUAUUGAAAAACGAUUAACAGCUACAAAAUUAUCCAUUUGAGGAUUAGACGCUCGCUUCAUUGCUAAAUAUUGCUCUCUAAUUCAGUUGGUAUCCUAAUUCUAGGUUGUGAAUUUGAUUAUCCUCAAGCUAUGCUAUCCUAAUUCUUGUCCGUUCUAGUCCACUUCAGAUGCUUAGUUUGGCCCACAAUAAAGCUUCUUUCUUUCUUUGUUUUUGUUUUUUUUUCUCCUACGAGGGUGCGGGGUGGUGAUCAAUUCGUUAGUAAUUUGACAUCUUUGUAGUCAACAAUACUUAGCAUCUGGGUACGUGCAAUGCACACUAGAAAAAUACAAGUUUUAGAUUUUAUUAUAUAACAUAAAAAACAAUAUAAAAAACAUGUUUGUAGACUUUUUUUUAAAUUAUUAUAUAAAAUACUGUCCAAAUAUUAUUCAUUUUGUGUAUGUAUUUAGCAAAAUUUUAAAUCUC